This is a long non-coding RNA of Ipomoea nil (Japanese morning glory), 212 nucleotides long. RefSeq lists it as uncharacterized. The transcript has 2 exons. NCBI's taxonomy places the organism in Eukaryota, Viridiplantae, Streptophyta, Magnoliopsida, Solanales, Convolvulaceae. The record is from RefSeq and is a predicted model, not a curated record.
GCCCACAUACCGAUGCAAAAAUCAGAAAAUUUGUCCAUUCAAAAGCAGCAGUUACAGGUCUCUGCUGCCAUCAAACGCUGCCACGUUUUUAUGCAUCAUGCAUUUAUUCCAUACCACAAAAAAUUACUCGGCUAUCUUUUAUGACGUCAUUUUAUUACCUAGAAAUACACUAUAGGUAUGCUGAAUAAAAACGAAAAUUAUUUACAUAAUAA